UUUUAAUUCUCUUAGUACACUGUAAAAUUAUUUGUUGCUGCAUUAAAUGAAGUAUAAUCCAAAUGGCUGGUACAGUCAUUUCAACUCUUUGUGAAAGUGAAAACUUCUAAACUUUUAGUUAAUACAAAAUAUGUUGCCAUGAGUUAUUGAUCACAUUAUAUCAAUGACAAUCCCCCCCCCCCCUCUUUUUUGCAGUUUUACAUAAUACACCAACACUUUUACCUGUUCCCAUGCAAGUGGUGGCAGAAGCAUAUGCAGACAGUGAAGAACCCUCUCAGAAGACUGUCCUUUGGAGGAAGAACCUGAGUCCACACCUAGAGAAAGGCCUACAGAAAGGCUUGCAGAAGAGUCUGCACAAAGAACUAAUACAGAGGGUGACAUCCGUUCCCUCUAUAAAC
Long non-coding RNA from Cyprinus carpio carpio, 398 nucleotides. NCBI's taxonomy places the organism in Eukaryota, Metazoa, Chordata, Actinopteri, Cypriniformes, Cyprinidae. The record is from Ensembl.